Molecule: ribosomal RNA, 651 nt
Filed under: Salmonella enterica subsp. enterica serovar Infantis
Lineage: Bacteria; Pseudomonadati; Pseudomonadota; Gammaproteobacteria; Enterobacterales; Enterobacteriaceae
Also listed under: 1 other name
Description: partial 23S ribosomal RNA
Rfam family: Bacterial large subunit ribosomal RNA
Source: RNAcentral
AGACCCGAAACCCGGUGAUCUAGCCAUGGGCAGGUUGAAGGUUGGGUAACACUAACUGGAGGACCGAACCGACUAAUGUUGAAAAAUUAGCGGAUGACCUGUGGCUGGGGGUGAAAGGCCAAUCAAACCGGGAGAUAGCUGGUUCUCCCCGAAAGCUAUUUAGGUAGCGCCUCGUGAAUUCAUCUCCGGGGGUAGAGCACUGUUUCGGCUAGGGGGCCAUCCCGGCUUACCAACCCGAUGCAAACUGCGAAUACCGGAGAAUGUUAUCACGGGAGACACACGGCGGGUGCUAACGUCCGUCGUGAAGAGGGAAACAACCCAGACCGCCAGCUAAGGUCCCAAAGUCAUGGUUAAGUGGGAAACGAUGUGGGAAGGCCCAGACAGCCAGGAUGUUGGCUUAGAAGCAGCCAUCAUUUAAAGAAAGCGUAAUAGCUCACUGGUCGAGUCGGCCUGCGCGGAAGAUGUAACGGGGCUAAACCAUGCACCGAAGCUGCGGCAGCGACGCUGAUGCGUUGUUGGGUAGGGGAGCGUUCUGUAAGCCUGUGAAGGUGGCCUGUGAGGGUUGCUGGAGGUAUCAGAAGUGCGAAUGCUGACAUAAGUAACGAUAAAGCGGGUGAAAAGCCCGCUCGCCGGAAGACCAAGGGUUCCUGU